AUUGAACGCUGGCGGAAUGCUUUACACAUGCAAGUCGAACGGCAGCAUAGGUGCUUGCACCUGAUGGCGAGUGGCGAACGGGUGAGUAAUACAUCGGAACGUGCCCAGUCGUGGGGGAUAACGUAGCGAAAGUUACGCUAAUACCGCAUACGAUCUAAGGAUGAAAGCGGGGGACCGUAAGGCCUCGCGCGAUUGGAGCGGGCGAUGUCAGAUUAGGUAGUUGGUGAGGUAAAAACUCACCAAGCCGACGAUCUGUAGCUGGUCUGAGAGGACGACCAGCCACACUGGGACUGAGACACGGCCCAGACUCCUACGGGAGGCAGCAGUGGGGAAUUUUGGACAAUGGACGCAAGUCUGAUCCAGCCAUUCCGCGUGCAGGACGAAGGCCUUCGGGUUGUAAACUGCUUUUGUACGGAACGAAAAAGCUCUUACUAAUACUAGGAGUCCAUGACGGUACCGUAAGAAUAAGCACCGGCUAACUACGUGCCAGCCGCCGCAGUAA
RNAcentral lists this ribosomal RNA (502 nucleotides) under uncultured bacterium. Its description in RNAcentral is "partial 16S ribosomal RNA". It matches the Rfam family "Bacterial small subunit ribosomal RNA", at positions 30 to 523 of the family's 1533-position model. The record is from RNAcentral.